Molecule: ribosomal RNA, 460 nt
Filed under: uncultured bacterium
Lineage: Bacteria
Description: partial 16S ribosomal RNA
Rfam family: Bacterial small subunit ribosomal RNA
Source: RNAcentral
ACUACGGGAGGCAGCAGUGAGGAAUAUUGGUCAAUGGGCGCGAGCCUGAACCAGCCAAGUAGCGUGAAGGUUGACUGCCCUACGGGUUGUAAACUUCUUUUAUAAAGGAAUAAAGUGAGGCACGUGUGCCUUUUUGUAUGUACUUUAUGAAUAAGGAUCGGCUAACUCCGUGCCAGCAGCCGCGGUAAUACGGAGGAUCCGAGCGUUAUCCGGUUUUAUUGGGUUUAAAGGGAGCGUAGAUGGGUUGUUAAGUCAGUUGUGGAAGUUUGCGGCGCAACCGUAAAAUUGCAAUUGAUACUGGCAGUCUUGAGUGCAGAUGAGGUAGGCGGAAUUCGUGGUGUAGCGGUGAAAUGCUUAGAUAUCACGAAGAACUCCGAUUGCGAAGGCAGCUUACUAAUCUGCCACUGACAUUGAUGCUCGAAAGUGUGGGUAUCAAACAGGAUUAGAUACCCCAGUAGUC